RNAcentral lists this ribosomal RNA (497 nucleotides) under uncultured bacterium. RNAcentral's name for it is "partial 16S ribosomal RNA". It matches the Rfam family "Bacterial small subunit ribosomal RNA", at positions 28 to 507 of the family's 1533-position model. The record is from RNAcentral.
GAUGAACGCUGGCGGCGUGCCUAAUACAUGCAAGUCGAGCGAACAGACGAGGAGCUUGCUCCUCUGACGUUAGCGGCGGACGGGUGAGUAACACGUGGAUAACCUACCUAUAAGACUGGGAUAACUUCGGGAAACCGGAGCUAAUACCGGAUAACAUGUUGAACCGCAUGGUUCAACAGUGAAAGACGGUCUUGCUGUCACUUAUAGAUGGAUCCGCGCCGCAUUAGCUAGUUGGUAAGGUAACGGCUUACCAAGGCAACGAUGCGUAGCCGACCUGAGAGGGUGAUCGGCCACCCUGGAACUGAGCCACGGUCCAGACUCCUACGGGAGGCAGCAGUAGGGAAUCUUCCGCAAUGGGCGAAAGCCUGACGGAGCAACGCCGCGUGAGUGAAGAAGGUCUUCGGAUCGUAAAACUCUGUUAUUAGGGAAGAACAAAUGUGUAAGUAACUAUGCACGUCUUGACGGUACCUAAUCAGAAAGCCACGGCUAACUACGUG